UCACGAGACACGGGGUGCGCGGAGAGACGCGCUGAGAACACACCCGUUGAACCUGCUCUAGUUCGAACUAGCGAAGGGAUGGUCCGUGUCAGACAC
Molecule: non-coding RNA, 96 nt
Filed under: Corynebacterium glyciniphilum
Lineage: Bacteria; Bacillati; Actinomycetota; Actinomycetes; Mycobacteriales; Corynebacteriaceae
Also listed under: 1 other name
Description: TPP sequence
Rfam family: TPP riboswitch aptamer (THI element)
About the family: Vitamin B(1) in its active form thiamin pyrophosphate (TPP) is an essential coenzyme that is synthesised by coupling of pyrimidine and thiazole moieties in bacteria. The previously detected thiamin-regulatory element, thi box was extended, resulting in a new, highly conserved RNA secondary structure, the THI element, which is widely distributed in eubacteria and also occurs in some archaea. Analysis of operon structures identified a large number of new candidate thiamin-regulated genes, mostly transporters, in various prokaryotic organisms.
Source: RNAcentral